Theobroma cacao (cacao) is the source of this 509-nucleotide non-coding RNA. The record is from RefSeq and is a predicted model, not a curated record. Lineage: Eukaryota; Viridiplantae; Streptophyta; Magnoliopsida; Malvales; Malvaceae.
GAACCUAGGCAUGUAUUCUAGCAAAGUGAUGUGGAGAGUUCUGAAACUUAUUAAUCAAUUAUUCCAUGGAAGGCAGUUCAAACGAUGGCAAUGGAAGGGAGAUUUACAGAUUGCUCAAGCGUGGGGCCUAAUAUUUCAGAAGGCAUCCCCACCUCCGCCAAAAAUAUUCUUUUGGCACAAACCAUUAACAGAGAAGGAAACCAGGUUGUAGAUCAUCUCUCCAAUUAGGGGCAUUUGCACCAAAACCUACAUGUAGUAUCACAAGCCAAAGGUUAGCUCAAAGGUAUUAUUAGAUUAGAUAAAACAAAUUUACCUUAUGUUCGUUUCAAAUAAUUGUAAAGGAGUAGUACUCCUAAUUUAUUUUUGCUAUUUUUACUUUGAUGAUUAUUUAGACUCUUGUAAUAUGGAAGUGUCUCAAUAUUAUGAUUGUGCUCAUAUAUAUGCAUGUAAAAUGAGACACUCCUUUUAGGUAUUUCUCUUAAUUCUUUUUAGACUCAUUUAAUUCUAAA